Molecule: ribosomal RNA, 253 nt
Filed under: uncultured bacterium
Lineage: Bacteria
Description: partial 16S ribosomal RNA
Rfam family: Bacterial small subunit ribosomal RNA
Source: RNAcentral
UACAGAGGGGGCAAGCGUUGUUCGGAAUUACUGGGCGUAAAGGGCGCGUAGGCGGCCGAUCAAGUUAGAUGUGAAAGUCCUGGGCUUAACCUGGGGACUGCAUUUGAUACUGAUUGGCUUGAAUUCGGGAGAGGAUAGCGGAAUUCCCAGUGUAGAGGUGAAAUUCGUAGAUAUUGGGAAGAACACCGGUGGCGAAGGCGGCUAUCUGGACCGACAUUGACGCUGAGGCGCGAAAGCGUGGGGAGCAAACAGG